Molecule: non-coding RNA, 24 nt
Filed under: Arabidopsis thaliana (thale cress)
Lineage: Eukaryota; Viridiplantae; Streptophyta; Magnoliopsida; Brassicales; Brassicaceae
Source: RNAcentral
UGUAUCUGCUGAUGUUUGCCCACC